RNAcentral lists this long non-coding RNA (7082 nucleotides) under Coffea arabica (coffee). Its description in RNAcentral is "long non-coding RNA (CARA_LNC003671)". The record is from RNAcentral. Lineage: Eukaryota; Viridiplantae; Streptophyta; Magnoliopsida; Gentianales; Rubiaceae.
UUUUUUUUUUUUUUUUUUUUUUUUUGCUUUUGAUUGCAAUAAAAUUAUUUUGUCCAGACACGUGCGAGCAAGUAUAACUUUUUCAAACGAUUUAUUUUGUCGCUUUAAUUUAGUACAGAUUUUAAAUACUUAUAGAGCUUGUCUCUCAAUUUGCGCAGGUCAAGAGGGGAUUCAGGUGUUUAUUUUUCGUAAAACUAAGGCCCUGUCUGGCACUUUGUUACAAGUUUUUUAAAAACUUUAGUUACAAUAACCUCAAAAAAGUUUUCGAAAAUUUUAAAUUAUAUACUUCAAAAUAUUAAAAAAUUUACAUUCUUUAAAAAUUUGUUAAAAAACUUCUACAAUAAAUUACAGUAAAGUUUUAGAUAAACACCCAAAAAAUUCACUUGCCAACGGACCCUAAAAUUCAAUCUACUGAAUAUUUUGCAGGAAGUAAUAACUAUAAGUUUAAGCACUUAAGUGAUAAAUUAAGUACAAAUUACGUGUAUUAACUAGUGCACAUUGACAUCGAUUAGUUUUUGUAUGCAAUUCAAUACAGAGUGUGACAUGUUAUGUUAUUUAAAUAAUUCUUGCGAUUGAAUCGAAGCAGUCACAUCCCCACCAAGAACCUUCUUCCACAAUACGGCUAGUUAGAUCAUACGUGACAUUAUAUGCGUUCACACCAUGCUAAUUGACCCAAAAAAAGAGUUUUCUAUAUUGGCCUCAUUGUCAUGGGGCUAGUGGGAUCCUUUUUUCAUGUUAUAUUCUAAUUUAGAAAAGACAACUAAGAACAUAAUUGAAAAACUGGUUUUGGUGACUAUUGGAUUUUCAGUGGGUCAUUUACUCAAAAUAAUUUGUGCAACAAAAAGAAAUUAUUGGAAGUUAUUUGGGGAAAUAAUUUGGUGGGAAAUCAACUUAAACCUUUGGUGUUCAGUGUUAUGUAGACCUGGCAAUUGGGCGGGUUGGGCGAUUUUGGGCGGGUUAAUAUUGGGUUUUUAUUUAAAUGGGUUAUACCCAAUCCGCCCAACUUUAAAUUGGGUUACUUUUGGGUUGGGUCAUUUUGGGUCAUCUCAAACCCAUGACCCAAAUAUGACCCAAUAUAUUAAUUAAUAGAUUUUGAUACAUAAAUUCUCUUAAAUAUAAAUUAUGUGCUGGCGGCAGACUUUGUGUAUAUAUUGGAUUAUUUGCAAAUUGCUUCAAAUCAUUACCAAAAGAACAAAUCAUUACGAAAGUUUGGAAACCAAGUCACAAAAAGCCCACAAAUAUAUAUAUAUAUAUAUAUAUAUAUUUAAAAAUACUAAUAGAUUAUGAUCAUAAAAAUUACAAAAAACGGAUUAUAACAGGCCAAAUAAUAGAGCUGCAAACCUGAACCAGUAUACUACUACGGACAUAAUCGAUUCAUUCUUGCAGCCGGCUAACACAUGAUAUAAUCCUUAAGGAAAUAUUGAAACUGGUCAGUUUAUGGAGAAACAAAUAAAGGUUUUAUACCUGUAGGAACAACAACCGAGGACACCACAGGAGCAAAUGGGAUUAAGAUUCGACAGCUUUAAUCUGAGAUUUUGUGACUUCUGCUUGGAUUUGGGAUGAUAGAAUUGCAAAAGGGUAGCAAAAAUGAACCCAAAGUAGAAUUGAAAAUUUGUUAUUUUUGAUUGAAAUCGUUGUUAGCAAGAAAGACAGAACUCUUCGUGGAGAGGAUUGUUAAUUUGCUAAAGAGUAAAGGUGCGAAGCUGGUGUGGUGGAGGUUUAUUUUUUUUUAAGUUGGGUAAUGGGUACCCAACUUAAUUACCCAAACCCACCCAAAAUAGGUAUGGGUUUUUAUUACCCAAUCUAAAAUUAACCCAACACCCAAUUUACCCAACCCAACUUCUAAAAUUAGUGGAUUGAUUGGGUGGGUGUUGGGUUUUGGGUAUAAUUGCCAGGUCUAGUGUUAUGUAUCAAAAUUAUAGGUCCUCUUUUUUUUUUUUAUUUUAUUGUGAUUGCUUCGAUUGUUGAUUCAUCUACUUCUCACGAGAUACAUAAUGUAGCCUGGAAAAGAUUUAUUUUCCUUCAGGCAGCUUGGAUUUUGAUUUUAACAAAAGUUAAAUGAAAUCCAUAAAUUGAUGCCAAAAAAAGUACAUCCAACAAAAUUGGAGGUUUUGUUUUUAUUGAGCUUUGAUAGCUGUAUACGUGGACGAAUCUGUCUAAAUGUUGAAAUUUUUAGCUAAUCAUGAAAGCAAAAGAGGGAUUAGCGUUAAAGUACAAUUCCACAAGCAUUUGGUUUUCAUAAAUCAAACAAACUUGGGAGUCCCCUCCUUUUGGAAAGUCAAAAUCCCAUAAUUUAGAGUACUAUUCUUUUUGUCCUUUUCAAUUAACUCUUUGCUCAUAUGUUUUAAACUCUCUCGGAAUAAUCAAAUCCCAGAUUAUCAAUUCACUAUAAUAUUAUGUAAUGUAGCAAUAAUAACAUAAAAUCAAAAAGAAAAAAAAAUCUCUCAGCCUUCUCUCUGCUUCCAAUGGUCUCUCUCCCAAUGGUCCUUUUUUUUUUUUUUUAAUUCUGUAAUAAAUUAUUCACCAUAGAAUUUCCUAAUAAGAGUUUCUCACUCCUAAAAUUUUAUAGAGAGUAUAUUUUCUCUCAAUACUUUCACUUUUUGUAGGAUUUCCAUGCAAAAGUUAGUUUGGUUGUUUGUUUUGUCUACUUUUCCUUAAGGCUGAGUUUUAUUUAAGGAAAAUCAUUCAAAAGAUUGAAAGAUUGAAGGAUGGAUACCAGACUUGGUCCGUUUGGACAUGGUUUUCACAAAAUAUUUUUGAAAAAUUUUUAAGAAUAUUUCAGACCUUUUUUUAAUCUCAAUUGUUAGGGCAAAAAAUAAAAUACAAGAAAAUAGCUAAUGAUUACAAAUAGAAAUUAUACAAAAUCGCUUCAAAUCACGACUCAAAAUCACUUUCCUUUAGACUAUAUUUGUCCAGAUUUUUAAUAUGCAAAGGACUUGAACAAAUAUCCUUUAGCAUAUUUGAAGGAUGUUUAUCUUUAAUUUUUGCACAAAAUAAAAUAAAUCAACUUGAAUGAUGGUAUGUUUUUGUAGAGGAUUUUAAAGAGUAAGAAAGUGAUUUUCUGCGGUAGACCACCUCCAGCCCGCUAGACCUUAUACAAAGUAGAGAUUGUGAGUGGUCAAAGUCGUGACAUUUAGUCUACAAAACAUGUGUCUGUCCUUUGAAUUGUGCUAACUAAAUGAUUUCUCAGACACUAUUAUAAGUGUCCAAUCCAGGGUAACUCGUGUGAUGUGUUGCUCCUCUUUAGAAUAUGACUAUCAAGGAUCGAAUGCUGGGGUUAACGUGUUCGAAAGAAAUUGGUCUCAAUUCUCGAGCCGUAAGGAAUUAGUCGGAGCAAAGGUCCGGAUAACCCUGUGUCGAAAAAAAAAAAAAAAACUAUUGUAAGUGUUUAGACCAUUCUAGACGUUCUAGCACCAUUCAAAAGGUGACUAACCAUUGUAGCAUGAAGAGGUACCAAAUACGUUCAAUUUCUGACCGUUAGACUGACUUCAGGUGAUGUCUAAUCGCAAGACCGGCGUCGGUCACCACAUAUUUUGUUCAAUUCAAGAAUCUGGUGAUGUUUAGUUCAAUGUCCAGUCCAAAGACUGGGGCCGGACAUCAACUGACCAAUUUUGAAAAUUUUCCAACAUCAAUAAAGGUAAUUGACUUAGUAAACCCUUGUUGAUACAAUUCAUUAUCCAUCAGAAUAACUUACCAAAUUUCUACAAAAAGGCAUAAAAAAUAGAUAAAAUUGGCCUUUCAUUGUUGGAGUCAAAAAAUAAUACAGGCAUGCAAAUUCCCAAAAACAGCUAAUCCAAACAGCUUAUCAUUAUGUAUAUUUAUAUUAAAAAAAGGAUUGAAUAUAUCUUUUACUUUGCAUACAGUAGGAAAUUCUCAGAAGCACCGAGGCUAGCUGGGAAGCAAACUUAACAUAGGUAUAAUUGUCAAUUUUCACCGCUCACAACACAUUGGAGCAAAUGAAAAUGAAAAAUCAAUAUUACCAAAAUUUGAAUUCCAAAUGUGCCUCUCAUGGGCAGCUUGGUUGGUCACGGUAAGGUUGCAAACGAGUCGAGCCGAGUCGAGUUUUGACCUAAUUGAACCGAGCCUUGACUUAAUUUUAUUGAACUCGAACUCGAGCUCGAACUCGACAAGCUGGCAAUUUAAACCUCGAGCUCGAAAAAAAUAAAAAAUAAUUAUUUUAUUUUUAAAAAAAUAAAUAAAAUAAUAUUUUUCUUAAUAAAUAAUAAAAUAUUAAGGAUAUAUAUGUAAUUUUACCAUUAAAAUAAAAAAAAAUAUAUACACACUUAAAAUAAAAAUAUAUAUAUACUUAAAAUAAAAAUAAAAAUAUAUAUAUACUUAAAAUAAAAAAUUUUAAAUAUAUAUAUAUAUAUAUAUACAUACUCGGCUCGAGCUUAAUAUUUUGAGCUCGAGUUCGAGCUCGAUUUUGACUCGAAUCAGCUCGAACUCGACUCGAACCGCUCGCGCGACUCGAUUCGUUUGCAGCCCUAGGUUACAGAAGCCUCCUUAGGAACCAUUGUUCAGUCUCACUAGGGUUCGAGUCCCAUGGUUACCGUGUUUGAGGGGAUGGGGCCUCUUCUCUCGGCCGCAGGGGAAUUAGUCGGACCGAAGGACCGGAUAUCCCCUGCAUCUGAAAAAAAAAAAAAAAGAAUUCCAAAUGUAUAUUGUUAUUUAAGGGCAUAAUUCACAAGCAUGCACAACAAACAAGAAUUUUGUCUAUAUGUUAUCCAAAUAAAUCACAAUUUUCACUAAGGAAUUGAUUUAUACUUCGUGGAAAUACUCCCAUAUGUAAUGUAGGUGGUUAUAAAUACACAUUUGUAGGUGGACAUCAUCGAUUAUCUAGCUUCUUAGAGAUAAAAGACGAUAUAUAAGGACUGUAAUUGAUGGUGUUCAUAUGUAUUUGCUAGAUCAAAACUGUGUCAAUGUAAAUUGGGUUUCAAGAGAGACAAACAAAUUGACACAUAGUCUAGCUUCUUAUGCAAGAUCUGCCAAUUGUAGUGAUUUUCUAUGAAACGUCCCUCCUGAUUUUGUUAUACAAAUCAUGUUAGAUGGUUUCUAGCAAUCUCAUUGAUACCUCCUUAUUUAUGAACAAAAGGGGCUCCAACUCUUCUCAAAUGGGAUAGGAAAAAGGAAAAUAGAACAGAAAUUUUUAAUGGAAGCCCUUGGAACAUAAUUUAACUUCACACAAAAUUUACUAUUUAAGGUACACACUGAAGACUAAAAUGGACCAGCACCAUUCGAAUUGAAAAAACCCUUCCAUUGGUUUGGGUGUUCUGCAAAUUCACGGACUAAUUUAAAGUAUACAAGUAUAAAAUGGAGUAAAAUAAAAAUCACAAACUUAUCAACUUUUUGUGAUUCCCCUUUUUUUUUUUUAAAUGCUUUGUGUCGUCUUUUUUUUUUUCCUCACAUUUCUUUUCGUUGUCAAUCAAUUUCAGCUUAUGCGGUUGCUUGCUACUACUCGUUCUAGGCACGAGUGUUUGAAGUGCUUAAAAAUCUCUCAUUCAUUUUCUUCAAGAAAUUAACAUCUAUUGUUUCUACAUGUUUGUCUAAUUUUUACUGUUUAAGUUUUGUUCCUUUUUCUGAGUAUGUAAUUACUAUUAAUAAAUCUUAUGCAAAUUGAUUUCUUCAUGUAAAUUAGUAUUAUCUGGACAGUUUUAUUUUUUGUGUUUAAGUUAGACGACAAAAAGAAAUUUUUGACUGCUUUAUUAUUUUUGCUUUGCAUAUAUUGAUGAUCCCAAUUAGCUCUUGGAAAUUUUGAAAAAAGAAAAAAAAAUGAAAUGCAGAAUGCUUUUAUCUUUUUAAUUGUCAUAUUUUGAUGUUUUGAAUUUCUAAUAGUGAAGAUACAUUUACCAUUACAUUGCAUAAAAAAUUAAAAAAGGUACAAUUACAUUUCCAAUUUAAUAGUAAUUUUUAAGUGCUUUUCCUUGGUUUCAUCUAAACUUCCAAUUGAAUUUCGGCCUUGCUUCCCAUUCUUGUGGAUUCUUUAUCAUUCUAAAGGAUUUUUAUUUGCUAUCAUUCGACAAACUGAACGACAUGGCUGGUUUAACCAAACAAAUCAUGAUUCGACCAGGUGUCUGAUCACCCUAUGGUUCAAGCUUAAAAAACACUCCUAAAAAGCUGACCUACCCAAGUGUUUUCUCAAGUUCGUCGGCUGUAAGUUUUUAAAAACUUUAGCUACAGUAACCUCAAAAAUUUCUCAAAAAUUUUAAACUAUACACUUCAAAAUAUUCAAAAAUCUAGACUUUUCAAAAAAAUUUUUAAAAACUUCUACAGUAAGUUAUAAUAAAGUUUUAGACAAACUCCUAAAAAAACUCACUUUCCAAAUAGGGCCUAUAUAUAUUGCAAAAAAAUUGUCUUCUCUAUUUUCUCCUUUCCUUGCAUCUGUCAAUAUCAUGAAAGAUGACAAAGAUUUUCACUAAAGAAGAGUGUUAAUCUCCCUCCAAAUAUUCAAAACCUCAAUUAACACUGUAGACAAUGGAAAACACCAACAAAGAAUUGAGCUUUAUUCGUGACUAUGAUUCAUGCAAAUAAUGGUGCCUACAUCAACUAAGUAAAAUAACAUAGGGCAGAUCCCAACUAUCACUUCCUUUAGAACUGAUAAUUAAUGAAAGCUCUAGUUGCUAUCUUUCUCCUCCCCUCAUGGUGGCAAUGACUUCAAUUAGGACCUCUUUAUUUGCAUCAGUAAGGCAACUAAACUUGACUCUUCCUAGAUCCACGUGUAUGUCGUUUGCAUGCAUAACUUUUGAACUCUAGAGUUCUAUGCAAUGCCUAAUCAAAAGAAAGAUUGGCUUUAUGGAUGCGCAAAGAGAUUCAAGUCAAAUAGCAAAAGAAUCAGAUUAUAGCAAGUUCAUAAUUUCAUUAUCGUGCUCUUGUAAGCUAAAAACACCUAGAAGAAAAGGGACAUUGAUAGCAUACCUGGGAUUAAUAUAGAUUAAUACAGCUAGUUCAUGAUCUAUUAUCAUACGUUUACAAGAAGAAAAACUUGAUUUUAGUAAGCCAUAGGCUGUAUUUGAGCUUGAAACAGAUGGCAAUGAAUGUUCCCAUGCUCAUGAAGAACCAAAUUUAGCACAAUGAUCUUUUCCCAC